ACGAUGAAGCCCAUUCGGGGUGGAUUAGUGGCGAACGGGUGAGUAACACGUGGGCAAUCUGCCCUUCACUCUGGGACAAGCCCUGGAAACGGGGUCUAAUACCGGAUACGACGCGCUCGGGCAUCCGAUGUGCGUGGAAAGCUCCGGCGGUGAAGGAUGAGCCCGCGGCCUAUCAGCUUGUUGGUGAGGUAACGGCUCACCAAGGCGACGACGGGUAGCCGGCCUGAGAGGGCGACCGGCCACACUGGGACUGAGACACGGCCCAGACUCCUACGGGAGGCAGCAGUGGGGAAUAUUGCACAAUGGGCGAAAGCCUGAUGCAGCGACGCCGCGUGAGGGAUGACGGCCUUCGGGUUGUAAACCUCUUUCAGCAGGGAAGAAGCGAAAGUGACGGUACCUGCAGAAGAAGCGCCGGCUAACUACGUGCCAGCAGCCGCGGUAAUACGUAGGGCGCGAGCGUUGUCCGGAAUUAUUGGGCGUAAAGAGCUCGUAGGCGGUCUGUCGCGUCGGAUGUGAAAGCCCGGGGCUUAACCCCGGGUCUGCAUUCGAUACGGGCAGACUAGAGUGUGGUAGGGGAGAUCGGAAUUCCUGGUGUAGCGGUGAAAUGCGCAGAUAUCAGGAGGAACACCGGUGGCGAAGGCGGAUCUCUGGGCCAUUACUGACGCUGAGGAGCGAAAGCGUGGGGAGCGAACAGGAUUAGAUACCCUGGUAGUCCACGCCGUAAACGGUGGGAACUAGGUGUUGGCGACAUUCCACGUCGUCGGUGCCGCAGCUAACGCAUUAAGUUCCCCGCCUGGGGAGUACGGCCGC
This 810-nucleotide ribosomal RNA is filed under the name Streptomyces sp. Its description in RNAcentral is "bacterial SSU rRNA". It matches the Rfam family "Bacterial small subunit ribosomal RNA", at positions 66 to 889 of the family's 1533-position model. The record is from RNAcentral. Lineage: Bacteria; Bacillati; Actinomycetota; Actinomycetes; Kitasatosporales; Streptomycetaceae.